GUGGGGAAUAUUGCACAAUGGGCGCAAGCCUGAUGCAGCCAUGCCGCGUGUAUGAAGAAGGCCUUCGGGUUGUAAAGUACUUUCAGCGGGGAGGAAGGUGUUGUGGUUAAUAACCGCAGCAAUUGACGUUACCCGCAGAAGAAGCACCGGCUAACUCCGUGCCAGCAGCCGCGGUAAUACGGAGGGUGCAAGCGUUAAUCGGAAUUACUGGGCGUAAAGCGCACGCAGGCGGUCUGUCAAGUCGGAUGUGAAAUCCCCGGGCUCAACCUGGGAACUGCAUUCGAAACUGGCAGGCUAGAGUCUUGUAGAGGGGGGUAGAAUUCCAGGUGUAGCGGUGAAAUGCGUAGAGAUCUGGAGGAAUACCGGUGGCGAAGGCGGCCCCCUGGACAAAGACUGACGCUCAGGUGCGAAAGCGUGGGGAGCAAACAGGAUUAGAAACCCGGGUAGUCC
RNAcentral lists this ribosomal RNA (450 nucleotides) under uncultured bacterium. Its description in RNAcentral is "partial 16S ribosomal RNA". It matches the Rfam family "Bacterial small subunit ribosomal RNA", at positions 354 to 796 of the family's 1533-position model. The record is from RNAcentral.